AGUUAUUUUGUGACGAAUUAUUUCGAAGAAAAUUUUCAGUGGCCACUAGAAAAAAUUGAAUAAGAGCAAAACAAAAACGCGAGAAUCUACGAUCUAUUCAAUCAUGCUUAUAUUGUCGGGAAGUCAAUAUAAGAUAUGUCGAAGAACUUCAACGACAUGUAAACCGAUAUAUUCGAUAAUCGGCGGUUAGUCCAAAUUGCAUAUUUAACAAUUGUACGUACUCGAAACAUAAAUAAUGUAAUGUAUAUGUUUUCAAAUAUGUUGUUUUUGUCAAACGUUCAACAAGGGUUAUGCCGGACAUACAGUAAACAUUUUUACUGACCUUGUCAAUAAUUAAUUGUCAUAACACUCUUCAAUAUCGCUUGCAAGGUACGUCCAUUGGCAGAAUCCUUUGUCGGUGGACCAGAUGUUCACCUUGCGACAAAUUCACGAUAAGUUUUGGGAGUACAACUUGCGGACUCAUCACUUGUUUGUAGAUUUCAAAGCAGCAUACGACUUAGUGAAACGAGCCGAAUUGUGGCGAAAACACUUUCUGACAAAGCUAAUAAGACUGAUUCGUGCGACGCUCAAUGGAUCGAAAUCAAGCGUCAAGAUAGCUGGUAUGACAUACGAUACUUUCGUGACGUUAGAUGGAGUGAAGCAGAGCGACACGCUCUCAAAUUUAUUGUUCAGCGUUCGAAGGUGCGAGGCGAAGAUUCGGCGUGCAGAGAAACGGAUCUUGGAACACUAGUGACAUACACCGUGGCGUUCCGAAGAAAUUUGGUGCCCGGGUCCGCCCCCCAACGUUGAUUUAGUGAGCAAAAAAAAAAGGUCUCAAGGAUUGGUUUGCCAUCGCACACAAUAUAUCAAUUUAUGAGAACGAUUUUAGAUAUUCAGAAGUGUGAAGAUUUACGUCAUCCAGUUAUGUAUCGUGCGAAGAUUGAGCCUACAUUUUUGAAAGAAUUCUUCAAAAAGGCGACCACAUUUUCGACCGGAAAUAACGACACUGACGAUGCAUGUCACGAGGUUCGAUGGGUUCGGUGAAAGACACGUGUCUGAGAGAUAGAAAUGGUGUCUGAAAAUCUUCAAUCGAUUAGGCCCGUACUCAGGUACCACAAGUUCAAUGCUCGACGAUUAUUCGUGGAACAAGAAAUCCUCCAGAGUAUUCUUACGGGAUAAAGACCCUCGCAACGCUAAUCUACUGCAUGAAAUUAAUUGCACUCCGGUAUGAUAUAUUGUUUUAAAUAUUCAAUGUUUUAUUGAGCCAUUAGUUUCGUUGUUACCGGAAUCUGAUUUUCUGCGGAAAAUCGAAUUGUGUUCUCUACUGUAAAUAACAGUGCAUCCAUUCUACGGCGUAUAUGUUUGGCAACAUUUUCUUCAUGC
Long non-coding RNA from Malaya genurostris, 1362 nucleotides. RefSeq lists it as uncharacterized. NCBI's taxonomy places the organism in Eukaryota, Metazoa, Arthropoda, Insecta, Diptera, Culicidae. The transcript is spliced from 3 exons. The record is from RefSeq and is a predicted model, not a curated record.